This 477-nucleotide ribosomal RNA is filed under the name uncultured bacterium. RNAcentral describes it as "partial 16S ribosomal RNA". It matches the Rfam family "Bacterial small subunit ribosomal RNA", at positions 28 to 506 of the family's 1533-position model. The record is from RNAcentral.
GAUGAACGCUAGCGGCAGGCCUAACACAUGCAAGUCGAGGGAGAAGCCCUUUCGGGGGCUGAAACCGGCUCACGGGUGCGUAACUCGUAUGCAACCUACCUUUCACAGUGGGAUAGCCCGAAGAAAUUUGGAUUAAUACCCCAUAAUAUUAUUGGAUGGCAUCAUUUGAUAAUUAAAACUGCGGUGGUGAAAGAUGGGCAUGCGUCCUAUUAGCUAGUUGGAGUGGUAACGGCACUCCAAGGCUACGAUAGGUAGGGGUCCUGAGAGGGAGCUCCCCCGCACUGGUACUGAGACAGGGACCAGACUCCUACGGGAGGCAGCAGUGCGGAAUAUUGGUGCAAGGUCGGAAGACUGCAACAGCGCUGCAGCGUGGAGGAAGAAUGGCUUGUGGGUUGUAAUCUGCUUUUAUAUGGGAAGAAUAAGGUGUACGUGCACAUUGAUGACGGUACCAUAUAAAUAAGCAUCGGCAAACUCCGU